GACAGAGGAUGCAAGCGUUAUCCGGAAUGAUUGGGCGUAAAGCGUCUGUAGGUGGCUCAUUAAGUCUACUGUCAAAUCCCAAGGCUCAACCUUGGUCAGGCGGUAGAUACUACUAAGCUGGAGUACGUUAGGGGCAGAGGGAAUUUCCGGUGGAGCGGUGAAAUGCGUAGAGAUCGGAAAGAACACCAAAGGCGAAAGCACUCUGCUGGGUCGAUACUGACACUGAGAGACGAGAGCUAGGGGAGCGAAUGGG
RNAcentral lists this ribosomal RNA (253 nucleotides) under uncultured bacterium. Its description in RNAcentral is "partial 16S ribosomal RNA". It matches the Rfam family "Bacterial small subunit ribosomal RNA", at positions 524 to 776 of the family's 1533-position model. The record is from RNAcentral.